Molecule: long non-coding RNA, 342 nt
Filed under: Struthio camelus australis
Lineage: Eukaryota; Metazoa; Chordata; Aves; Struthioniformes; Struthionidae
Description: lncRNA (ENSSCUG00000012692.1)
Source: RNAcentral
AGAAAGGGAAGGUAGUGCAAAGAGAGGAGGAAUAAAUACUUACAUAGUGCAUUGUUUUUCUUGCAGAUGCUAUUGGAGUGAUAGUCACCCUAGUACAGCGGACCAGCAUGUACCGACAAAGUUCCAGUCCCAUCUCGGACCAAUGAAAGCUUGAGCAGCACUGGAAUGAUUAGGCCACAGAUUAGCUUCCGGGUGAAGACUUCGAUCUCUCCUUUCACGAAUGAGAGGAGGCAAACAAGCCUUGUUAUCUCCAUUCUACAGAAACAGGAGCUUCAGGCAGGGGGAAGGGUCACCUUGGAAAAUUCAGUAGGUGCCUAUCUGCUUCUUAAAGCUAUCCUAUAA